GCCGGCAACUAGCUCUCUGCAACUCACAUGGUCGCCCACUGAAGCCAAGCAGGGUUGCGCCCGGUGAGUACCUGAAUGGGAGACCACAUGAGGAAGCUAGGUUGCUGCCGGAA
This 113-nucleotide ribosomal RNA is filed under the name Danio rerio (zebrafish). Lineage: Eukaryota; Metazoa; Chordata; Actinopteri; Cypriniformes; Danionidae. The record is from RNAcentral.